UACAGAGGUCUCAGGCGUUGUUCGGAUUCAUUGGGCGUAAAGGGUGCGUAGGCGGCGCGGUAAGUCGGGUGUGAAAUCUCGGGGCUUAACUCCGAAACUGCAUUCGAUACUGCCGUGCUUGAGGACUGGAGAGGAGACUGGAAUUUACGGUGUAGCGGUGAAAUGCGUAGAUAUCGUAAGGAAGACCAGUGGCGAAGGCGAAUCUCUGGACAGUUACUGACACUGAGGCACGAAGGCCAGGGGAGCAAACGGG
RNAcentral lists this ribosomal RNA (253 nucleotides) under uncultured bacterium. RNAcentral's name for it is "partial 16S ribosomal RNA". It matches the Rfam family "Bacterial small subunit ribosomal RNA", at positions 524 to 776 of the family's 1533-position model. The record is from RNAcentral.